This 1380-nucleotide ribosomal RNA is filed under the name metagenome. RNAcentral describes it as "bacterial SSU rRNA". It matches the Rfam family "Bacterial small subunit ribosomal RNA". The record is from RNAcentral.
GGGUGAGUAACGCGUAGGCAACCUACCUUAAGCAGGGGGAUAAUAUAGGGAAAUUUGUGUUAAUAUUGUAUAAUAUUGGGAUAUGGUAUUAUAAUUUAAUCAAAGGAGUAAUCCGGCAUAAGAUGGGCCUGCGUCCAAUUAGCUAGUUGGUGGAGUAAUGGUUCACCAAGGCGACGAUUGGUAGCCGAACUGAGAGGUUGAUCGGCCACAUUGGGACUGAGACACGGCCCAAACUCCUACGGGAGGCAGCAGUGGGGAAUAUUGUGUAAUGGGGGAAACCCUGACGCAGCAACGCCGCGUGAAGGAAGAAGGCUUUCGGGUUGUAAAUUUUUUUGAAUGGGGAUGAAAAAAAUGAUGGUAUUUAUAAAACAAGCCACGGCUAACUACGUGCCAGUAGCCGCGGUAAUACGUAGGUGGUAAGUGUUAUCCGGAAUUACUGGGUGUAAAGGGCGUGUAGGCGGGAGAGUAAGUCAGAUGUGAAAUUCCAAGGUUUAACCAUGGAGCUGCAUCUGAAACUAUUCUUCUUGAGUGUUGGAGAGGAAAGUGGAAUUUUUAGUGUAGUGGUGAAAUGUGUAGAGAUUAGGAGGAAUAUUAGUGGUGAAGGUGGCUUUCUGGACAAUAACUGACGCUGAGGCGCGAAAGCGUGGGGAGCAAACAGGAUUAGAUAUCCUGGUAGACCACGCUGUAAACGAUGGAUACUAGGUGUAGGAGGUAUCGAUCCCUUCUGUGCCGGAGUUAACACAAUAAGUAUCCCACCUGGGGAGUACGGCCGCAAGGUUGAAACUCAAAGGAAUUGACGGGGGCCCGCACAAGCAGUGGAGUAUGUGGUUUAAUUUGAAGCAAUGUGAAGAAUUUUACCAGGACUUGACAUCUCUUGAAGUCAUCAGAGAUGAUGAUGUUUCUUCGGAAUAAGAAGACAGGUGGUGCAUGGUUGUCGUCAGCUCGUGUCGUGAGAUGUUGGGUUAAGUCCCGCAAUGAGCCCAACCCUUAUCGUUAGUUGCCAGCACAUUAUGGUGGGUACUCUAGCGAGACUGCCGGCGACAAGUCGGAGGAAGGUGGGGAUGAUGUCAAAUCAUCAUGCCCCUUAUGUCCUGGGCUACACACGUACUACAAUGGCCGUUACAGUGGGAAGCGAAACUGUAAAGUGGAGCAAAUCUUCAAAGGUGGCUUUAGUUUGGAUUGUGGGCUGAAACCCGCCCACAUGAAGUCGGAAUUGCUAGUAAUGGCAGGUCAGCAUAUUGCUGUGAAUACGUUCCCGGGCCUUGUACACACCGCCCGUCUCACCAUGAGAGUUGGUAAUACCCGAAGUCAGUAGUCUAACCGUAAGGAGGGCGCUGCUGAAGGUAGGACCGAUGAUUAGGGUGAAGUUGGAACAAGGUA